RNAcentral lists this ribosomal RNA (321 nucleotides) under Triticum aestivum (bread wheat). Its description in RNAcentral is "partial small subunit ribosomal RNA". Lineage: Eukaryota; Viridiplantae; Streptophyta; Magnoliopsida; Poales; Poaceae. The record is from RNAcentral.
AUGAAAAUGGCGUUGCCAUCCACAUCACGUGAGGAAUCCUUCGUAUCUGGGACAAGCAAGAGCGUCUUCUUGCCUCGGUGCCACGUGAACGCAACUGGCUAUAUGUGGUGCACUUCAACAUCACUCACCCUAGGCCUUGCCGCACGUCACGACGUCGUGGCCUGGCGAUGGCACGAUAGGUUUGGCCACAUCUCCUUCCACGCGCUGAGACGCAUGUCUCGCAACAAGAUGGUGUGUGGGCUGCCGGAGCUCGAGCAUAUGGGCCAGCUCUGCAAUGCCUGCAUCACCACUGAUGUAGGACCAAGUCCUAGGUUUGCCUGA